RNAcentral lists this ribosomal RNA (458 nucleotides) under uncultured bacterium. RNAcentral describes it as "partial 16S ribosomal RNA". It matches the Rfam family "Bacterial small subunit ribosomal RNA", at positions 338 to 795 of the family's 1533-position model. The record is from RNAcentral.
CCUACGGGAGACAGCAGUGGGGAAUAUUGCACAAUGGGGGAAACCCUGAUGCAGCGACGCCGCGUGAGUGAAGAAGUAUUUCGGUAUGUAAAGCUCUAUCAGCAGGGAAGAAAUAGCGACCUUUGGGUCGCCAGACGGUACCGGAUUAAGAAGCCCCGGCUAACUACGUGCCAGCAGCCGCGGUAAUACGUAGGGGGCACGCGUUAUCCGGAUUUACUGGGUGUAAAGGGGGCGUAGACGGCAGCGCAAGUCUGAAGUGAAAUGCCGGGGCUUAACCCCGGGACUGCUUUGGAAACUGUGCAGCUAGAGUGCAGGAGAGGUAAGUGGAAUUCCUAGUGUAGCGGUGAAAUGCGUAGAUAUUAGGAGGAACACCAGUGGCGAAGGCGGCUUACUGGACUGUAACUGACGUUGAGGCUCGAAAGCGUGGGGAGCAAACAGGAUUAGAUACCCGAGUAGUC